AGCUCAGAAAACUGCAACUUGUUAACUGUUCUCUCUCUUUUCUGUGGAUUUCAAUUUUCAUCCGAUCCAAACAUGCCUCUGGGAACGCUUGAAGUUCUUCUUGUUGAUGCCAAAGGCCUCGACAACAAUGAUUUUCUGGGUAACUCUCUCUCUCUCUCCCUCUGUGCCUGUGUUAAGGAUCUUCGAUCUCCCAGCUGAUCAUUUACUGUAUGAUUUGUAGAAACAUUUAUACAAGCGAAAUAAUUUCUGGGUUGCUUCCUGCUUCACCCUUUUGUGGAUCUAAACUCCUUGCUAGCUUUGUCUUGUCUGAGUCAAUGCUUUUGCCUGAUUUUUCUAGGCUUGAUGACCCUGUUUUCUUAUGUGUCUAUAAAUAUGUAUGAUUGUGUGGGUCAAAAGUUGAAUCUUUGAUGCACUAACCAACCAAAAACAAAAGAAUCCAUGAAAGUUCUGAGUCACUUUUGCAUAGAUCCAUAGUAAGUUUAAGUUAAGGACAAAGGAUCUAUCUACUUCUGACAAUGGGGGUGCUUGGAUUUACUUAUAACCAUGCUAAGUUGAAUCAGGAAAUUGUGUUUUGGGUCAACAGAAUUGAUAUUUGGAUCCACAAAGAAUUUGAUAUAAAUCUGUUCUACUUUUUAAUCUUUCUGCUUUUAAGUUUCUGAAUUUGCUAAUUAUGUAUGUGUGACAUGGGUUGAAUGCUUUAUGAGCAGCUGACAUGGAUCCCUAUGUCCUUUUGACUCUAAGGACCCAAGAGAAGAAAAGCAAUGUGGUCUCAGGUACAUUUCUACUUCUAGCCAUCUUCAUCUUUUGUGCACAUCUCCCCUGCAAUAAAAUUGUGUAACUUUUGGAAGAACAAUGGCUUAAAUUGGUGCCUGCAGUUUUCAAUGAAUUGUGUUAAAAAAAUUGUACAUGCAGGGCAAGGAUCUGCACCAGAAUGGAAUGAAACCUUUGUAUUUACAGUCUCUGAUGAUGUCUGCGAACUUCAUUUGAAAAUAAUGGAAAAGGAUAAUUUCAGCGCAGACGAUUUUGUUGGAGAAGCAACGUGAGUUUUUUUCUUUUUUGGGAUCCUUUAAUUUGUAUAUGGUCACUCGAAAGUAAUUUGCAGCCCUCAGAAACUAGGUUUUGAGUUCUAACAGUUCAACCACUGAUAUAUUCUCUGGUGAAAAGAGCAUGCCUAACUUAUCCAUGGCUGUUUGCAGCAUUUCAUUAGAGCCCAUUUUCACUGAAGGUAGCAUUCCACCAACUGCAUAUAAUGUUGUCAAUCAGGACAAAGAAUACCGUGGAGAGAUUAAAGUUGGACUCAGAUUCACUCCUGAGCCUGAGGUGCUCUCAAUUUUUUUUUCCUCUUUUGGAACUUUAAAUUUGUAGUCAAUGUUCUAGCUUAUGAUUGUUGUGUUCUAUUUUAUGUUCUAUUUGCUACAUUGUUAAUGUCUUUACUCUGACUGCAUUCGUUGUUGCAGCAAAACGACGGUGCAUCUGGGGAAUAUGGAAGAAACGACGGUCCAUCUGGGGGAUAUGGAAGAAACGACGGUCCAUCUGGGGAAUAUGGUGGUUCCGAGGAGGGCUAUGGUGGAUGGAAACAAUCAUCUUAUGCUGAGGAGUAGGCUAAUUUGGAUCGGAAGAAUCAUCUUACCCGGAAUGACCUUGUGAUUUACAGUGUAAUGUAUGAUGUUCAUUUAGCUGCCUGGUGUUGGCUUGAGAAAAGAGGAGCUUCAGUCAUGUCAGAGGUUUCUUUUUGGUGUGCUUUUGUGUGCAUCAACUUGUUUGAUGAUUGAAAUAAUCAGUCAAGUUUACUGUUUCUGAUUGCUUUGUAUUUGCUUAACCUCAUAAUUAUCCCCAAUCUAUAAAGUAGGGUAAUGUAUCAUCUGGUUCAAUCUAAUCUAAAAAUAAAACCAUGUUGGUUUGCUUUACCUCUUGAUUUUAUUGUUUUCUAUCCAGUAUUGAUACUCAACC
This 1950-nucleotide long non-coding RNA is filed under the name Prunus dulcis (almond). Its description in RNAcentral is "sRNA ncRNA". The record is from RNAcentral. Lineage: Eukaryota; Viridiplantae; Streptophyta; Magnoliopsida; Rosales; Rosaceae.